CCUACGGGUGGCAGCAGUGGGGAAUAUUGCACAAUGGGCGAAAGCCUGAUGCAGCAACGCCGCGUGAGCGAUGAAGGCCUUCGGGUCGUAAAGCUCUGUCCACAAGGAAGAUAAUGACGGUACUUGAGGAGGAAGCCACGGCUAACUACGUGACAGCAGCCGCGGUAAUCCGUAGGGGGCUAGCGUUAUCCGGAUUUACUGGGCGUAAGGGGGGCGUAGGUGGUUUCUUAAGUCGGGGGUAAAAGGCUACGGCUCAACCGUAGUAAGCCUUUGAAACUGGGAAACUUGAGUGCAGGAGAGGAGAUUGGAAUUCCUAGUGUAGCGGUGAAAUGCGUAGAUAUUAGGAGGAACACCAGUUGCGAAGGCGGCUCUCUGGACUGUAACUGACACUGAGGCACGAAAGCGUGGGGAGCAAACAGGAUUAGAUACCCUUGUAGUC
RNAcentral lists this ribosomal RNA (439 nucleotides) under uncultured bacterium. RNAcentral's name for it is "partial 16S ribosomal RNA". It matches the Rfam family "Bacterial small subunit ribosomal RNA", at positions 338 to 795 of the family's 1533-position model. The record is from RNAcentral.